Molecule: ribosomal RNA, 460 nt
Filed under: uncultured bacterium
Lineage: Bacteria
Description: partial 16S ribosomal RNA
Rfam family: Bacterial small subunit ribosomal RNA
Source: RNAcentral
CCUACGGGUGGCAGCAGUGAGGAAUAUUGGUCAAUGGGCGGAAGCCUGAACCAGCCAAGUAGCGUGCAGGAUGACGGCCCUACGGGUUGUAAACUGCUUUUAUACGGGAAUAACAUGCCUUACGUGUAAUGCUUUGCAUGUACCGUAUGAAUAAGGACCGGCUAAUUCCGUGCCAGCAGCCGCGGUAAUACGGAAGGUCCGGGCGUUAUCCGGAUUUAUUGGGUUUAAAGGGAGCGUAGGCCGCAUGUUAAGCGUGCUGUGAAAUGCCCGGGCUCAACCAGGGCAUUGCAGGGCAUACUGGCGUGCUUGAGUGCGCGGAAAGCAGGCGGGAUUCGUGGUGUAGCGGUGAAAUGCUUAGAUAUGACGAAGAACCCCGAUUGCGAAGGCAGCUUGCGGCAGCGGUACUGACGCUGAUGCUCGAAGGCGCGGGUAUCGAACAGGAUUAGAUACCCUUGUAGUC